RNAcentral lists this ribosomal RNA (229 nucleotides) under uncultured bacterium. RNAcentral describes it as "partial 16S ribosomal RNA". It matches the Rfam family "Bacterial small subunit ribosomal RNA", at positions 568 to 796 of the family's 1533-position model. The record is from RNAcentral.
CGCGUAGGCGGCACUGUAAGUCAAAGGUGAAAGCCCUCGGCUCAACCGAGGAACUGCCUUUGAAACUGCCUUGCUUGAGUCCGGGAGGGGGGAGCGGAAUUCCCAGUGUAGCGGUGAAAUGCGUAGAUACUGGGAGGAACACCGGUGGCGAAGGCGGCUCCCUGGACCGGUACUGACGCUGAGGUGCGAAAGCGUGGGUAGCAAACAGGAUUAGAUACCCUGGUAGUCC